Molecule: long non-coding RNA, 2197 nt
Organism: Carya illinoinensis
Lineage: Eukaryota; Viridiplantae; Streptophyta; Magnoliopsida; Fagales; Juglandaceae
Exons: 2
Source: RefSeq, a predicted model, not a curated record
CCUUGCAUUUUCCUCCUGCCUAGGGUUCGUGUCUCUGUUUCUUUUUGUCUCUCCCCCAUUCUAUCGUUCAAAUUCCAUCUCGAUGUGCUCUCUCUCUCUCUCUCUCUCUCUCUCUCUCUCUCUCUCUCUCUCUCUCUCUCUCUCUCUCUCUCUCUCUCUCUCUCUCUCUCUCUCUCAUGCCAUUGUUGUGCUCCAAUGCAUUAGUAAGUUGUCUUCUCCCUUUUUGGAAUGGUUUCUUUUGUUGGCCUUUUUGUCUUUUGAGCUUUGUCUUGAUUUUAAAUUCAAUUUGGGUAUUUUCAGUUUGAGCCUUUGUCUCUCUCCCCGAUCUCUCUCACACCUCUCUAUCUCCAUUUCACUCUCAACCUUUUUCUCUUUCCAAAAAAACUAUAGAUGGAGGUCAUCUUCCUUGAUUUAUCUCCACUUUCAACUUAGGCCCUGAUCUCCAUUGAAGGAGGUCUUGUUUUGUGUUCAUCUGCGAUUUGGAAGAGGAUUUAUAUGCUUUGUUCUUCUGACGGUGUGUUUUCUUGAUUUUCUCUUAAUUUUUUCAGUUUCCCCCCCUGUGGUUUGGGAGCUUGUUUUGAUUAUUGUUUGUUUGGGGAUUUCUUCAAUGAGGGUUUUGGGCUAACUUUCUGGGUUCGUGUGAGCAUUGUGCAAAUUGAUUUUUCAAUGAUGCUCAAAAUCAUAUAUGGAUCUCUCUCUCUCUCUCUCUCUCUCUCUCUCUCUCUCUCUCUCUCUCUCUCUCUCUCUCUCUCUCUCUCUCAUUACCAAAUGGCCAAAGGCAAUAAUAGGAUUGUGUUAUUGAGAGGUUUUUGUUUAUGAAAUAGAGUUGAUCUAAAAAGUUGGUUAGGACUGAGCUGUGGGGUGGAUAUGGUGAGUAGAGUGUUCUCUUGUGCUAUAUGCUUAUUUUGUUCUUCAAUAAGGGUUUUGAUUAUUCAUUUUCUUAUGAUUUAGGCAUGUUGCUUCUUUCCUCCAUUUUAGUUUGUAUAUUCUUGUACAUUCUUUUCAUAUAUUUUUUUUUUCUUUUUGAUUAGUUGAGACAACAUUUAUAUUGGAUUCGUAGCCUUGUGAGUUUCAAUUUGUAUUUCUCGUAUUAAUCCAUAUAUUCUUGCCCUAUGGUGUUCCCGAUCUAUUGAUGCUUAAAAUUGUUUCCAAUGUUUUGAUAGUGAGUGUUGUGACUUGUUGAAGACAUUCACAAUUUAUUGAGAAUUUUUUUUUAAAAAAAAAAAAUGAAGAUUCUAACCUGGAAGACUAGGAAGUGGGUGGAAUGGAGUUUGAUAACUGAUUUUGUAUACAUUUUUUGAGCUUUGGGUUACGUUUGUGGGCAUUUACGAAUUAUUGAAAAAUUAGACACAACACAGCAUAUGAAGUGGGUGAUUGGAGAUGAUUUUGUCCUAAUAGUAGCAGUGCUCAUAUUGAGAUGAUGCUUAAGCUGUGUGUCCAACAUGUAUGGCCUUAUCAGCCAAAUAGAUGGAUUGAGAAUAAUGGAGAUUAUGACAAGACUCGUGCAUUUUAAUUAUCGAGCAAGAGAAAUGGGUUAAUGAAGUAUGAGUAUGAUCAAUUGAAUGCCUUUUAUAGUCUGAGUUUUAGUCUCCUACAUUUAUAAACUUUAUCCUUAUGUUACUUUAUGUUACUUUUUUCAUGGAGUUGUAAGAAUGUUAGCUAACUUUAAUUGAGGAUAUUACUAUAGGACACAUUGUAGCGGCAAAGCAACGUUAUAGAUGUUAAAUCAAGGUGACAAUUGAAUGGUUCAAGCACAUCUGUCAGCAACAACUAAAGAGAGCCUUGGAUGAUCAUGUCAGGUUUUGUACUUUGAUGGAUGAUCAUGUCAGGUUUUAUACUUUGAUGUGUCUUGAGAAGUCUAAAGUUACAAAUAUAAUGUAAUUUUUUAAAAAAAAAAAAUAAUGCAUUUAUUAAUAACAGACAUUAUAACUUUGACCUAAAAUAUACAUUACAAGCCAACUAUAACAUUAAUAGCUCUCCAAUACACAAUUGUAACUGACAUGGUCUAGAAUAUAAUAUAAUUGCUUUAUAGAUUGUAAUAUAAUGUAAUUGGUUAGAAUAAAAAGUAAGUACUUUGUAUAAUUGCUUUAUGAACUGUUAUAUGUAAAAAGUAAUGUAAUUUUUUAUUUUUUAUUUUUAUGUAUUUUGUGACAAUAGUUUCGGAUUUGGCAAUAAAAUUUUUCUAGAAAAUUGUUUA